UCAGGUCACAAAGGCUGCCCAGGCAGCGCGCGAGCCAGAGUCCCAACCCUGCAAGUGCCAGGCUCGCUGCUGCCUCUAAUGCAUCCGUCCCCUGAGCCAAUGCGCGGUGGGAGACCAGGCAACAGCUCGAAAGCAGCAGAGAAUUACUGGGCACCCAUCGGAAAGCUGAAAUCAACGAUGUCACAGGACCCCUGAAAACACACAGCAAAUGGAGUUUGUUUUUCCAAGCUACUUCCCAAGUUUUGGGAAGAAAAGGAACACACAUCUGUUUUGACCACUACUGCACAGGCACACCGCGGACAUCACAAAUAAAUAUGGUCCCCGUUUUAAGACAAUUCCAUCAGGUAAAACGUUCAUUUACCGCACCUAACUAAGGUUAGCUACACCACACACUGCAGAGUGGGACUGGCUCCCUUUGUGAUCAUGUGCUGACUGGAAGCUAUGGCUUGCUGCUACCCUCAAGCCUCACAAGCCCCUCCAUAGCAAAGGAUGAAAAACCCCAGUGAAAAAUCAAAGCGCACACAGUGAAGUGUGGUGCC
Long non-coding RNA from Mastomys coucha (southern multimammate mouse), 539 nucleotides. RefSeq lists it as uncharacterized. NCBI's taxonomy places the organism in Eukaryota, Metazoa, Chordata, Mammalia, Rodentia, Muridae. The record is from RefSeq and is a predicted model, not a curated record. The transcript has 3 exons.